CAAGAAAUACUCAGUCCUCUCCUUCUCUUAGCCAAAUCCGUUCAAACAAAGGUGUGGGAUUCCCCUAAGGACCGACGGGUUAGAUCAGAGCAAGUUCCUCCCGGUGUCUUUAUUAGCUAGUAGGCUUAUUAGACAGGAUCUAACAGCAGGAACGAGCAAAGCGAGAGGCUGACUAAGGUCAGGGAUCUAUUCCAGAUAUUCCUUAGAGCCUUCAAGGCAAUCCGUAAAGUAAAAACCAUCCCGAGGGGAACUAAGAAAAUAAGGAGCUUUCUUGAGUCAAGUCAGUCCAUCUUCACUAUCUUCCGAAGAAUGCCUCACUUUCGAUCCGCACAUUCUAUAAAGCAUCAAGCUAGGCAUUCAAUAGUAGCUAAGAAGCCUUCAAGGCAAUCCAUGACCUACUUAUUUGCAAUCACAAUAUUUGAUUUUUCUAUGAAGUACCAAGUGGAUUAAUCGAGCGUAGGAUAACUUUUAAAAUAUAUUUUAUUAGUAUCAAAAUAUGAGAUGAUUUUCUUGGCUCUUUAAUAUCUGAUGCAUCACUAUAUUCUUUUUUAUGUGGGGGGUUUUGAUGCAAAUCUUGAUAUUAAGGCGUGAAGGUGGUUCAACAAGGCCUUGUAUGAAAGCAACUGAUGCUUUGAUCAUAUUUUUUUUUGGCGUCUGUUAACG
RNAcentral lists this long non-coding RNA (663 nucleotides) under Nicotiana benthamiana. RNAcentral's name for it is "long non-coding RNA (NBEN_LNC006069)". Lineage: Eukaryota; Viridiplantae; Streptophyta; Magnoliopsida; Solanales; Solanaceae. The record is from RNAcentral.